Molecule: ribosomal RNA, 302 nt
Filed under: uncultured Glomus
Lineage: Eukaryota; Fungi; Glomeromycota; Glomeromycetes; Glomerales; Glomeraceae
Description: bacterial SSU rRNA
Rfam family: Eukaryotic small subunit ribosomal RNA
Source: RNAcentral
UCGAUAACGAACGAGACCUCGACCUGCUAAAUAGCUCGGCUUAAGGUUCGCCUUAUGUACGUGGCUUCUUAGAGGGACUAUCGGUGUGUAGCCGAUGGAAGUUCGAGGCAAUAACAGGUCUGUGAUGCCCUUAGAUGUUCUGGGCCGCACGCGCGCUACACUGACGCAUGCAUCGAGCUGUUUACCUUGACUGACAAGUCUGGGGAAUCUUUUCAACGUGCGUCGUGCUGGGGAUAGAUUAUUGUAAUUAUUAAUCUUCAACGAGGAAUUCCUAGUAAACGCAAGUCAUCAACUUGCAUUGA